AAAGAAAGAGGGAGGCAUGCCUAACACAUGCGAGUCGAACGAGACCUUCGGGUCUAGUGGCGCACGGGUGCGUAACGCGUGGGAACCUGCCCUUAGGUUCGGAAUAACUCCCCGAAAGGGGUGCUAAUACCGGAUAAUGUCUUCGGACCAAAGAUUUAUCGCCUUUGGAUGGGCCCGCGUUGGAUUAGCUAGUUGGUAGGGUAAAAGCCUACCAAGGCGACGAUCCAUAGCUGGUCUGAGAGGAUGAUCAGCCACACUGGGACUGAGACACGGCCCAGACUCCUACGGGAGGCAGCAGUGGGGAAUAUUGGACAAUGGGCGAAAGCCUGAUCCAGCAAUGCCGCGUGAGUGAUGAAGGCCUUAGGGUUGUAAAGCUCUUUUACCCGGGAUGAUAAUGACAGUACCGGGAGAAUAAGCUCCGGCUAACUCCGUG
RNAcentral lists this ribosomal RNA (433 nucleotides) under uncultured bacterium. RNAcentral describes it as "partial 16S ribosomal RNA". It matches the Rfam family "Bacterial small subunit ribosomal RNA", at positions 31 to 507 of the family's 1533-position model. The record is from RNAcentral.